GUGGGGAAUAUUGGACAAUGGGCGCAAGCCUGAUCCAGCAAUGCCGCGUGAGUGAGGAAGGCCUUAGGGUUGUAAAGCUCUUUCACCCACGACGAUGAUGACGGUAGUGGGAGAAGAAGCCCCGGCUAACUUCGUGCCAGCAGCCGCGGUAAUACGAAGGGGGCGAGCGUUGUUCGGAUUUACUGGGCGUAAAGGGCGCGCAGGCGGCAGAUCAAGUCAGAUGUGAAAGCCCCGGGCUUAACCUGGGAACUGCAUUUGGGACUGGUUUGCUAGAGAUCGGGAGAGGAGAGUGGAAUUCCCAGUGUAGAGGUGAAAUUCGUAGAUAUUGGGAAGAACACCGGUGGCGAAGGCGGCUCUCUGGACCGAUACUGACGCUGAGGCGCGAAAGCGUGGGGAGCAAACAGGAUUAGAUACCCUUGUAGUCC
This 425-nucleotide ribosomal RNA is filed under the name uncultured bacterium. Its description in RNAcentral is "bacterial SSU rRNA". It matches the Rfam family "Bacterial small subunit ribosomal RNA", at positions 354 to 796 of the family's 1533-position model. The record is from RNAcentral.